RNAcentral lists this long non-coding RNA (275 nucleotides) under Elaeis guineensis (African oil palm). Its description in RNAcentral is "long non-coding RNA (EGUI_LNC042748)". The record is from RNAcentral. Lineage: Eukaryota; Viridiplantae; Streptophyta; Magnoliopsida; Arecales; Arecaceae.
AUUGUGUCUCAACCUCAAAAAUCCUAUGACUCUUCACUAGGACCACUUUGGUCAAAAUUUUGCUGAAUUGAAACACAAUGAUACAUCAUCUCUAAUUUUACUUGGAGCGAUCAAUCUCAUCUUGACUCGCACUCAGACUUCACAAAUACUUGACUGUACCUAAAAAACUUUCAUCAUCAAAUUAAAAAUUCAGAUAGUCUGGCACCAAAGCAUAGUGAGUUGCUUACAAGUCAUCGAGACAGUCUCAGGUCUGAGGAACUCAUAUACCCAUAUCC